Molecule: long non-coding RNA, 1741 nt
Organism: Rhincodon typus (whale shark)
Lineage: Eukaryota; Metazoa; Chordata; Chondrichthyes; Orectolobiformes; Rhincodontidae
Exons: 3
Source: RefSeq, a predicted model, not a curated record
GAAGAAUGAAUACAAUCACUGAAACUCACGUGAUUUCUAUCCUGCUCCGCCCUAGACCGGUAGUGACGUGUACAACCAGGCGCAUGCUGAGCUGUACUUCCUGUCGUUGACGUCAAGAAAGGAAAUGACGCAUAGGCCGCGGAGCCGGAACUGGGUGGAGGAGGACGUGUUGUCCGGAUCGGGAUCUUUAGGUAAAGGAGUGGCUCACUUUCGGGGCUCUUCGCGGUCUCGGUGAUCUCUCCUCCUUGUGACCGGUUAGCACGCAGUGUGACUGGACAUCAGUUCCUGUGCUCUGCUGAUUAACGCUCUAAAACAUCAGCAGUCAUGGCAACAUACCAGGAAUUCAUUCAACAAAACGAAGAGCGUGACGGUGUUCGGUUCAGCUGGAACGUGUGGCCAUCCAGUCGACUUGAGGCUACGCGCAUGGUGGUUCCUUUGGCUUGUCUCUUUACGCCUUUAAAAGAACGCCCAGAUCUGCCGCCAAUACAAUAUGAACCUGUUCUGUGCAGCAGAGCUACCUGUAGGGCUGUCCUUAAUCCAUUGUGUCAAGUGGACUACAGAGCAAAACUAUGGGCAUGCAAUUUUUGUUUUCAGAGAAACCAGGUAAGGCUUGAAGAAUUUUAACCACCUAGUGUGUGAGUUGUCAAAAUAAAAGAUAAGAGUUGACUAGGAAGAAAUUUUUUUUUUUUAAAAAAAACUGAACUCUUGUUCCAGCCCUAAGUUCUGUUAUUCAUUUAAAUGUUCCACACUUAGAAUCCACGGAAUACAGUGGAUAUUUGAAGGACCGGAUGUUACAGGUUUCUAUCGUUUGAAGUUUAGAAAGAUGAGAGAUGACCUUAUUGAAAGAAAAGAUCCUGAGGAGAUUUAAUAGGGUGGAUUCUGAGGGGAUGUUUUCCUUUAUAGGAGAAACUAGAACUAGGGUACUCAGUUUAAGAAGAAGAGGUGAGAUAAGAUUAUUUUUCUCUUAAAGAGAAAACAGUGGAGAUUAGGUCAUUGAGUUAACUGAAGUUGAGCCCACUCCUCCACUGAGUGAGAUCACGACUGAUCUAAUCUUAAUCUCAACUCAAACAUCACAACUCCCUCCAAUAGUCUUUCACCCCUUUGUUUAUCAAGAAUCUGCCUAUCUCUGCCUUUAAAAAUAUUCAAAGAUUCUGCCUCCACCACCUUUUGAGGACAAGUUCCAAAGAUACUGAAGCCACUAGGAGAAAAAUUUGCCUGAUCCCUGUCUUAAAUGGGCGACCCCUAAUUUUGAACCAGUGACCUCCUAGUAUUAGAUUCUCCCACGAGAGGAAACCUUUCUUUCCACAUCUAUACUAUCAAGUACCUCAGGAAUUUGAAUAUUUCAAUCAAUCUUCUAAAUUCCAAUGGAUACAAGCCUGGCGUAUCUAGCCUUUCAUCAUAAGACAUCUCAUUCAUUCCCAUGAAGACAUUCUAGUAAGCCUUCUCUGAAGUACCUCCAUUGAAUUUCUGUCCUUCCUUAAUUAAGGGGACUGAUACCGUAACAGUACUCCAGAUGUUGUCUCAGCAAUUCCCUACGUAAUUGUGCACUUUUGUGUUCAAUUCCCUUUGCAGUAAACAAUAACAUUCCAUCAGCGCUCCUGUAUGGUCAUACUAACCUUUUGAGCACUCGGACAUCCAGAUUUCUCUGAAUCUCAGCACUCUGCAAUCUCUCUCCAUACAUAAACAUACUUUUUUAUUGUUCUCGCCAAAUAGUCAAUUUCACAUUUUCCUACAUUAUAUU